GCAUUGGUGGUUCAGUGGUAGAAUUCUCGCCUGUCACGCGGGAGGCCCGGGUUCGAUUUCCGGCCAAUGCA
Molecule: transfer RNA, 71 nt
Filed under: Gadus morhua (Atlantic cod)
Lineage: Eukaryota; Metazoa; Chordata; Actinopteri; Gadiformes; Gadidae
Description: tRNA-Asp (GTC) (tRNA-Asp-GTC-11-1)
Rfam family: tRNA
About the family: Transfer RNA (tRNA) molecules are approximately 80 nucleotides in length. Their secondary structure includes four short double-helical elements and three loops (D, anti-codon, and T loops).
Source: RNAcentral